This 2067-nucleotide long non-coding RNA is filed under the name Mastacembelus armatus (zig-zag eel). RNAcentral describes it as "lncRNA (ENSMAMG00000025944.1)". Lineage: Eukaryota; Metazoa; Chordata; Actinopteri; Synbranchiformes; Mastacembelidae. The record is from RNAcentral.
CAGCAGUUUAAUUCCACCGCUGAAAGAGAUGGUGUAAAGAGAUUUGAAAGCACUAAAACAGCCACUUAUUUUGUGGUGAGAUUGUUUUGUCAAGUACUGUCUCUGUGGUCAUGAAUGAGCUCUUGGUAUUAAGUCAUAAUGUAAAAACCAAGAUAAGCAUUCUUUAUGAUAAAGCAGUCUGAUCUCAGACUCUGUCGAACAUGGCGGAUGCUCAGGAUGAGGUCCAAGAUGAAGACAAAACACUGGAUCAAGCUGAGGUGGCACUUGGGGACCACGUGACAGGAGGAGUGGUUCAGAGUUGGAGGCAGGUGCAGAGGAGACUGGGCAAUGUCCCACCUAAAGGCCAAUCUGGUGUUGCUGUUGACCAUGACAAGCUCCUGGCUGAAGUGAAGGAGUGUCAAAAUCUUGUCAGAUUACAACAGGAGCUGCUGCAGGUGUGACUAUCUUGUGUGCUAAUACAAUUACACAAGCACAUCAGACAUAAAAAUACUCUGCUCGUUUUCUGCCUGCAGGACAGCUUUGUUUCACCCAUCCCCUCUGAACUGUCUGAUUCCUACUUUUUGGAAGAGUGGGAACAUCUUCAGAUGCGAGUGGCAGAGCUUGAACAUCAGAGGCGGACUUUUGAAAGGGAGCGGAAGUCUUUCACUGAUGCUGUAAUCCGACUAAGCCAUGAGGUGAAAAGAAAGAGGCAGAGGGAAUUUCUGAAGGAAUAUGAUGAUAUGUGACGAUACUGUAGUCCCCGCUGAGCUAAAAAUGUAGAUAAUGGAUAGGUAAAUGUUAGUGUGACCAAGGGAUGUAGCACUUUUUUUCCCCUCGUGACGUUGUACAAUUACUGUUGAUAAAUCAUGUGAAAAAUUAGAGCAUUUGGGCUUAAGAUGUUGCUUAUUAGUGUCAAGUUUCUAAUUUCCCCUCUUCAGCGCCGUGAUUUUGAGCAACAGAAAGGUUCCCUAAUGAAGCAGCAGUUUUUGUGUGACUCACCUCUAUUUACUAAAGGGGCACUGAGCUGCAACAGGCGAGAGAGCACUGCUCUCAAUUUCUCAGGUUUGGGGCCCACCAACAUAUCUGGCUGUCUUCCCAUUACGCCAUCAUCCACCGAUUCCAGGACUGCUGCUGUUCCUCAGUUACAUCAGGGAAGAGUUCGAGUUCAAACUCCCAGCACCCCUGAGCUGUACUCUGCUCUCAAUCUAUCAUACAACUGCAGAGCCAUUGAGGUUAAUCACCAGCAAGAGACAUGGGACGGUGGUGCAGACAGGAUAGUGCAUACACCACAUGCUCCACACUUAGACUGGUCAUUUUAAUGCAAUUUUUGUUGCUACAUUAGAUGGUCACUUAAAAUCCAAUUAUGCCUGUUUUCUCUUUUUAACAUCUUCAAUAAAGACUGAAUUUCCCUAUUGUUAUUUUGACACUACACUGUCUGACUAUAAUGAAAAUUGAUUCUGCCUGUUAUAAUACAGUAUUGACAACAGAUUUAGGUUUCUCAUGGUGGCUAAUUAUAAACCAGGACAUUUUAUCCACUAACUCCUUAUGAGAACUGUCUGUUCUGUGUGAUAUACCCAUGUGUUGUUUCCUAACAAACUGAAGAAUCAGAUGGUAAACUCAGUGCACUGUAACAACUUACCAUGUGAACACUGAUUCCUUUAAGCCCAUAGUUGUUACACUAGGCUUUUUUUGAACUCACUGAGCAUUGUGCAUUUAGAACCAUCUCAGGUUGGUGUCUGCUUCCAUGAAGAGCAACCACAGUACUGCCUUAUCCCUGUUUAUAGACAAUUUAAAAUAAAAAAUCUGUUCCAGCUUUAUUCAACUCAUCACCUACUGAGUCUAUUUAGAUUCCUUUAUAAAAUAAAGGUUUCUGAUGCAACAUCAGCCACUAGCAAGAUGCAUGAAGAAAAUCAAACUAAAGAGGGAAACACUUUCUGUGUAAUGAGUAACUUUAUUCUAAAACAAUAUGUUUUGGAUUGUGGCCUUUAUCAGUCAUUGUAAACACGUUAGGGAAUAUACUUAAAUGGAUAGUUGCACCUAUCUUAAGUGUGUUAUGGGAUCUCCUUUUCAAAUCAAAAGACAUUCCCA